GGCGAACGGGUGCGUAACACGUGAACAACCUGCCCUCGUGUGGGGGAUAGCCAUGCUAACGCGUGGGUAAUACCGCAUACGUUCCUCGAGAGGAGUCUCUUGGGGAGGAAAGCUCCGGCGCACGGGGAGGGGUUCGCGGCCUAUCAGCUAGUUGGGGGGGUAACGGCCUCCCAAGGCGACGACGGGUAGCUGGUCUGAGAGGAUGGCCAGCCACAUUGGGACUGAGAGACGGCCCAGACUCCUACGGGAGGCAGCAGUGGGGAAUCUUGCGCAAUGGUCUAACGACUGACGCAGCGACGCCGCGUGUGGGAGGACGCCUUUCGGGGUGUAAACCACUGUUGCCCGGGACGAACAGCCUUAUUCGUAAGGUCUGACGGUACCGGGUGAGGAAGCACCGGCUAACUCCGUGCCAGCCGCCGCGG
RNAcentral lists this ribosomal RNA (422 nucleotides) under uncultured bacterium. RNAcentral's name for it is "bacterial SSU rRNA". It matches the Rfam family "Bacterial small subunit ribosomal RNA", at positions 97 to 520 of the family's 1533-position model. The record is from RNAcentral.